This is a long non-coding RNA of Neopsephotus bourkii (Bourke's parrot), 2362 nucleotides long. RefSeq lists it as uncharacterized. The record is from RefSeq and is a predicted model, not a curated record. The transcript is spliced from 3 exons. Lineage: Eukaryota; Metazoa; Chordata; Aves; Psittaciformes; Psittacidae.
GCUGAUGCUGUAAAGAAAAACAUGGGAUUAUGGAGAGAAACAGAAGUGCUGUGUGCCUGUCAGGGCAAUAUCUGCACUGUCUGGGGUCAGAUGGUCAUGGUGGGCCUGAGAUACCCAUAUGCAAGGAAGUGAGGUUAGUCUGGUGCUAGAGAAAGAAUGAUGUAACAGAUAACACGGGCCCAAGGUCCUAAAUCGGAGCAUAUAGUAUAGCCCCAGGGCUCUCAUCUUUUCCAGUGUGCAGACUCCACAGCAUUUUUAAGGGGCACUUCAGGCUCCUUUCAAGCCAGGUUAAGCCUAUUGUCAUGAGCCUUAUCUGAGUCACCUUUCACAGACAGACCCCUUACAAAUAACUUACUUGUCCCACCCAUGCAUUCAAAGACUUCAAAACUGAAAAUCGCUGCUCUAUCCAGUUUAACUCAGCACUGUCAUCCAAUCCAGCAGUGAGGUACCAAAUACAGACUUUAGGGGAAGUAUCCACCAUCUCCUUGCUGUCAGAAGUUGUUACUGGUGAAGAUAACCCUAAACAACUUGUGCUUUCCUGUAACAAGUCAGUAGCAGUUAAGUCAAGAUAAAAAUUCAAAUGGAAUCAGAUAAAAAGUAGAUGCUGUUACUAUCUAUGCAUGAACAAAUGGGAUACAGAGUCCACAGUGUUGCCUUGACAAUAAAAAGCAUUGGAGUUCUCUUUUUGCAGAACUUGCUAGCAGUGAUGUAUGGGUGAUUCAUGAGAGAUAUUCUCUUAAACUACAAAUGUAGCCCCCAGGGCAGCUUUUCAAAGUAGAUGUUCCUAGGAAAAAAUUUUUUUUUUCUUGAUUUUUGAACUUGGUACACUUUGAAUGCUUAACAAAAUUAAUUUUUGGCAUGGAGUUCAUGAAAUAUCUCUGAUUAUUUUGAUUCUUUCAACUGAUUAAAUGAAGAUACCAAGCUUUGAGAGCCACGUGACUGGAGCCCUGAGCUAUAUAAAGGGAACAGCUCACCUGUUUCAUGUGGUGUAGAAUAAGAUGAAAGGAAAGGAUGUAGCUUGAAAGCAUGAUGGAGAACAGCCAGAGGGUAUUCUUACAUUCCAAAGACCAAUGUAUUGGAGCCAACUGCACAUGGUAAUCCUGACGGAGCAGACCACAUAUUUCAUGGCUUACAAAGCUACUGAUCUUUUUGGCUCUGGCAAGCUUUGCUGGGCAGUAAUCAACCUGGACCUACCAGAGCUCAGCAGGCCAGGGAGCAACAGUUUCAAACCCAUACUUCACUUCAGCCAUCAGAAGCAAAAACCUUUGGUCAGGUCUGCAAACCCCAAACUGACUGCCCAAGACAGCAGAGUGUGUGUUAAAGAGUCUCCAAACAAACGAAAAACUCCCUCAAACAUCACUCUGUUCCUUUUCACAAGCAGCAGAGAAAGAGGGGACUAAUGCCUCUUCAAGCAAGCAAAAGCAUGCAAACCACCUGAGUGUGUUGCCUUCCCCAGCCCUCAGCACCACAUGCUUGGGGAGGCACAGGGCAAGGGAGCCCCUUCAUAGCUACGCAGUCAAGGCUGAGAGUUAUUUGGAUUAGAUGAGGAAUUUCAAGUGGAAACCAUCUGAAUAUGUGUGUGAGCCUGUGUGAAGCUGAACUGUGUUUAAAGAAAACAAAUGGCUUCUUAUAGUACCUCUGCAAGGCCCGGUUCUAAAGGGGGUAUAAGUAAGCCUCCUUUUUCCUGCCAUCGCAAAUUUACAUGGGAUUGUGGGGAGUUUUUUCCUGUUCUGAAAGCAAAGAAUGAAGAAAAAAACAUGCCAGCAACGGUACGAAUAAAUUGGCAAGAUAUGCUGUAAAUAGCUUUGAUACUAAAUAAAAACAAAACAAAAUAAUCACAUUGCAGCCAUUUUAAGAUUUCAGCUUCCUUCUUCACCCCUGCCACUAAGCAGGCUUCCUCAAAAUAUGACAAGAAUAAUUCAGAGGGAUGCUUGCCAACUAUUUUCUGACCCAAAUCCUAGAGGUAUCCUCCAUCUGCAGCAACAGACAGCUCAUUGUGGUCUGUCAUUAUGUUCUGUUUGGUUUUCAACACCAACUACCCUAGUUAAUGAAAGAAGAUGCAACCACCAAAGACAAUGAACAGACAAACAUUAGCAGCAUUUCUGGGAAGCUUUGAGGAAGACUUCUCUAACCUUGAAUAGGCCAGAAUACAGAACAAUAAUGACUUAGGCAUGCACGUACAAGUGUAUUGCUUUAGCAAACUAGGUAAGCUCAGCUAUUAGGAAAACAGGCUGUAUAAAGCCUGGACAGGAUUUAAGGAGAAGAGAUGAAGAGCAGAGCUAACCAUUCAGUUUCUGUCACAGCACCACACCUACCUACUUACUUGGCCUCUACCUGCAGGCAGUAAAUUUAAUAGCUUGAA